RNAcentral lists this long non-coding RNA (1708 nucleotides) under Sus scrofa (pig). RNAcentral's name for it is "lncRNA (ENSSSCG00055012952.1)". The record is from RNAcentral. Lineage: Eukaryota; Metazoa; Chordata; Mammalia; Artiodactyla; Suidae.
AUGACCACAGUCCCGGCUUACGGCACUGGCCUUACUUUUAGGACAGGGAAGCUGAGACAAAGUGGGGCGAUCAAAGAACUGGAAUUUGAACUGCGUCUGAGUGACUCGGAAGCCCCGGACGAGUGGCGCCCCCGAGCCGGCAAAACUCCACCUCGAUGGGCGUCCGAGUUGAUGCAAGCGGCCUUUCGUCGAAGGACCGGUGCCGGUUGCACCGCGCUUCCCUUCUCCCGCCCGGGUCACCACUCAGGGCGGUGGGAGCCGGUGCAGGCAACGCGCUUUGAUCGCGGAGCGCACCCUGCCGGAGGACUGCAAUCUUGCUCGCUCGCUUCCCUCCCCAUCCCCCAGUCUGUCUGGGACCACUCCACUUCUCCUUCUCGGUAGGUAAGUGGAGUUCCCUCUAUGCCUUAAAGAACAACAAAACCCCUGUGCCCAUCGCUUUCUUUCCGUUUGAAAAUGUCUCCCCUUGUCCAGGAACCCCACUGUCUCCCCCGCAGUUUACAAGCGGGUUCUCCAAGCUCGGUCUUUGCCCUGCCUACAUGCUACUCCGCCACCGGCACUCUUGCUCCACUGUUCUAGCAAAAGACGCCGGGAGGAAAGCGGGUUGAAGCGGGUUGAAUCCCGGUAGCAGACCUAUACAGCUACUUAAUGCCUCUGAGUAUGGAGGGGUCUGAUGAAUUUCAAAUGAAAUUAGCACUCGCCGAACCCUUUUCAAACCCCGUGUUUGGUGCUGGGAAGCUUCCUGUGGUUCAUCUCAACUGUAUUGUAUUUCACAACGCCCCAGCUUAAGUCGCAAACAGAACAUUGGCAUUCAAAAUGAUUGCGAAAGAGGAGUUCCCGUCGUGGCUCAGUGGUUAACAAAUCCGACAAGGAACCAUGAGGUUGCGGGAUCGAUCCUGGCCCCGUUUAGCCGGUUAAGGAUCCGGCGCUCGGUGAGCUGUGGUGUAGGAUCACAGAUGCGGCCGGGAUCCCACGUUGCUGUGGCCCCGCCGGCGGCUACAGCUCGGAUUCGACCCCUAGCCUGGGAACCUGCAUAUGUCGUGGGUGCGGCCCUAGAAAAGAAAAAAGGAUUACAAAGGAGUUCUCUUAUGGCUCAGCAGAAACGAACCCAACCAUCAUCCAUGAGGAUGCGCGUUCAAUGCCUGACCUCGCCCAGUGGGUUAAGGAUCUGGGGUUGCCAGUGAGCUGUGAUUUAGACUCCCGCUGUGUGUGUGUGUGUGUGUGUGUGUGUGUGUGUGUGUGUGUGGUGCAGACCAGCUUCCAUAUGCUGCGUGCGUGCACACACACACACACACACACACACACAAAAUGCUUGUAAAAUGACCAGUUUUUUUUUCAUGUAUACAGUAUGUACUUUACCCUGCUAGGUCCCCAAAAGGAAUUUAAGCCAAAGACACAUAAAAUGGAACACAGUGUAGGGAGUUCCCAUCCUGGCUCAGAGCUAAAGAAUCCCACCAGUAUCCAUGAGGAUGCAAGUUCAAACCCUGACCUCUCUCAGAUCUGGCAGUACCAUGAGCUGUGGUGUAGGUCCCAGAUCCGGCUCAUAUCCCAUGUUGCUGUGGCUGUGGUGUAGGCCGGUAGCUGUAGCUCCGAUUGAACCCCCAGCCUAGGACCUUCCAUAUGCCACAGGUGCAGCCUUAAAAAAGCAAAAAAAAAAAAGGCAAAAAAAAGGCAGAAGGCCAUGUAAAUAAAAGAAAAAUCAAUCAAACCA